This is a non-coding RNA of Pelobates cultripes (western spadefoot toad), 231 nucleotides long. The record is from the annotation of a GenBank genome assembly. NCBI's taxonomy places the organism in Eukaryota, Metazoa, Chordata, Amphibia, Anura, Pelobatidae.
UGUAACUAUGUUUGAAGUGCCCUAAAUCUAUCCCAUGCUUUGAUUAUUCCCCAGGGAGUCAGAUAAAGAUGAUACCCCUUUAAAAAUGCGGAGGGCAUGAAUAAAGGGACAAUGGAAACAUGCACAUACAAAAAUAAAUGAUGUUACUUGGGAGGUUUAUGAAAAUCAAGUAUAAAGGGAUUGAAAUGCUGUUUAUCAGUGAAAAAGUGAUGAUUGCAGCACAAAACUCAG